AACACAUGCAAGUCGAGGGGCAGCAUAAAAGUAGCAAUACUUUGGUGGCGACCGGCGCACGGGUGAGUAACGCGUAUGCAACCUACCUAUCAGAGGGGGAUAAUCCGGCGAAAGUCGGACUAAUACCGCAUAAAACAGGGGCACCGCAUGGUGCUAUUUGUUAAAAAUUUAUUGCUGAUAGAUGGGCAUGCGUUCCAUUAGGUAGUUGGAGAGGUAACGGCUCACCAAGCCUACGAUGGAUAGGGGAACUGAGAGGUUGGUCCCCCACACUGGUACUGAGACACGGACCAGACUCCUACGGGAGGCAGCAGUGAGGAAUAUUGGUCAAUGGGCGGAAGCCUGAACCAGCCAAGUAGCGUGCAGGAUGACGGCCCUAUGGGUUGUAAACUGCUUUUAUACAGGAAUAAAGUUAGCCACGUGUGGUUAUUUGUAGGUACUGUAUGAAUAAGGACCGGCUAAUUCCGUGCCAGCAGCCGCGGUAAUACGGAAGGUCCAGGCGUUAUCCGGAUUUAUUGGGUUUAAAGGGAGCGUAGGCCGUCUGUUAAGCGUGUUGUGAAAUGUAGAUGCUCAACAUCUGAAUUGCAGCGCGAACUGGCAGACUUGAGUGUGCGCAACGUAGGCGGAAUUCGUGGUGUAGCGGUGAAAUGCUUAGAUAUCA
This 658-nucleotide ribosomal RNA is filed under the name uncultured Bacteroidota bacterium. RNAcentral describes it as "bacterial SSU rRNA". It matches the Rfam family "Bacterial small subunit ribosomal RNA", at positions 50 to 699 of the family's 1533-position model. Lineage: Bacteria; Pseudomonadati; Bacteroidota. The record is from RNAcentral.